GGUCAAUGAUGUUUUGGCAUGUCUUAUCUGAAUCUACUGCUGAUGUGUAAUAACACUUUAGCUCUAGAAUUACUCUGAGACCUU
Small nucleolar RNA from Aotus nancymaae (Ma's night monkey), 84 nucleotides. The record is from Ensembl. Lineage: Eukaryota; Metazoa; Chordata; Mammalia; Primates; Aotidae.